AAAGACUCAAUUUCUGGGUUUUGGCGUUCAACGUUUGACCCUCCGUCUUAUAUGAAUUUUUUUUUAUGAUUAGUAUUUUCAUUAUUGUUAGAUGAUAAAACAUAAAUAAUAUUGUAUACAUGACUUAUCUUUUUAAAUUUUUUCAUAACUUUUUUAAAUAAGACGAACGAUCAAACGUUAGACAUGGAAGCCUAGGAAUUGAGUUUUU
MicroRNA precursor from Oryza sativa Indica Group (long-grained rice), 208 nucleotides. It matches the Rfam family "MIR812 microRNA precursor family". The record is from Rfam. Lineage: Eukaryota; Viridiplantae; Streptophyta; Magnoliopsida; Poales; Poaceae.